This 511-nucleotide ribosomal RNA is filed under the name uncultured bacterium. RNAcentral's name for it is "bacterial SSU rRNA". It matches the Rfam family "Bacterial small subunit ribosomal RNA", at positions 30 to 523 of the family's 1533-position model. The record is from RNAcentral.
AUUGAACGCUGGCGACAUGCCUUACACAUGCAAGUCGAACGGUAACGGGCCUUCGGGUGCCGACGAGUGGCGAACGGGUGAGUAAUGUAUCGGAACGUACCUUUCAGUGGGGGAUAACGUAGCGAAAGUUACGCUAAUACCGCAUAUUCUGUGAGCAGGAAAGCAGGGGAUCGCAAGACCUUGCGCUGAUUGAGCGGCCGAUAUCAGAUUAGCUAGUUGGUGAGGUAAAGGCUCACCAAGGCGACGAUCUGUAGCGGGUCUGAGAGGAUGAUCCGCCACACUGGAACUGAGACACGGUCCAGACUCCUACGGGAGGCAGCAGUGGGGAAUUUUGGACAAUGGGGGCAACCCUGAUCCAGCCAUGCCGCGUGAGUGAAGAAGGCCUUCGGGUUGGUUAAAGACGUCUUUCGGUCCCGGGAAGGAAAUACGUAUGGGUUAAGUACCUCGUGCGGAUGACGGUACCGGCGACUAAGAAGACACCGGCUAACUAACGUGCCAGCAGCCGCGGUAA